Penaeus vannamei (Pacific white shrimp) is the source of this 184-nucleotide non-coding RNA. The record is from RefSeq and is a predicted model, not a curated record. Lineage: Eukaryota; Metazoa; Arthropoda; Malacostraca; Decapoda; Penaeidae.
AACCCGCCGGUUUACAGCGACACGGGCCACGAGACUCUUGUAGAGGACCAGGAUUCCGUCUGUGCUCGGACCUGUAAAGCUUCUAACGAAAGCGGUCCCGGUAUCAGGUACCUUCCCGGCCAUCAAUAUCGAUACCAAUAUGAAGGCAGGUGGUGAGCCGAGCGAGGGCAGCGGGAGCGCAGAA